UACAGAGGUCUCAAGCGUUGUUCGGAUUCAUUGGGCGUAAAGGGUGCGUAGGCGGCGCGGUAAGUCGGGUGUGAAAUCUUGGAGCUUAACUCCGAAACUGCAUUCGAUACUGCCGCGCUUGAGGACUGGAGAGGAGACUGGAAUUUACGGUGUAGCGGUGAAAUGCGUAGAUAUCGUAAGGAAGACCAGUGGCGAAGGCGGGUCUCUGGACAGUUCCUGACGCUGGGGCACGAAGGCCAGGGGAGCAAACGGG
Molecule: ribosomal RNA, 253 nt
Filed under: uncultured bacterium
Lineage: Bacteria
Description: partial 16S ribosomal RNA
Rfam family: Bacterial small subunit ribosomal RNA
Source: RNAcentral